GAGACGAUGUUGCCACAACGGGCGGACUCAUAGGAGUAUCUGCAAAGUUCAAGAGCAACAAAUCAGAAACCAAUAGCACGAGCAAAGGUAAGACAUCAAAAACUGAAUUACCUUCUGCUUCGAUGAUUGGGGGGUCGACACCCUGGGAAGAAGGUGGCUCAUCCAUGGGUUGUGAUGAAGACUCUGGGACUGAAGAUGUAUCUUUAAGCAUGGUCCCAUCACCAACCGGUUUGGAUGAAGUAGCCUCAGCAGAGGAUGAUGGAGCAGGAGUUGUCGAUGCCAAAGCCUUUGAAGGGGAGGCUGAACUUUUC
Molecule: long non-coding RNA, 311 nt
Filed under: Olea europaea (common olive)
Lineage: Eukaryota; Viridiplantae; Streptophyta; Magnoliopsida; Lamiales; Oleaceae
Description: long non-coding RNA (OEUR_LNC004159)
Source: RNAcentral